AUAAGACCCGCUUACUUGUAGGCAUACAGGGACUGCAGAUAAGCCCGGACGUCUGUAUUAGAGUCCUCGGGGGAGGAUUUCUACAACAUGUGGCAUUGUUCUUCUUGAGGCUGCUCUCUUCAAGAAGGGCACUAUCUACCACAGUCUGGUAGAAGAUCUGUAGCAGCUUCUUGUAUACGUUGAAGAACGUAGCAUCCAUGUUGGCUGUCCAGUCCAGUCCAUCAUCCAGAUGCACUCCCAGGAAAUCCUUCACUUUCUCUCCAUUGGCUACGACGUACUGAGGUGGUGAGAGGACCCCAAACACCUGCAUUCCGCCCAGUAUAAGACCAUCUAGUGCUCCAUUCAUUCUAAUAGGGACACUCAUCACCUGGGACUGAAGUAGCGUGGUAUUAAAUAUCUCUUAUGUACAAUACAGUAAAUGAAUGCUAGCUUUUGCCUACCUGUUCAGCAGUGAAGAUAAUGUAACAAUAAGUUCCCCUUUCAAAUGUGUCAAUACUAUCCCCAUCAUCCCAGAACAAGUCGCCCCAGGCUGAACCUGCUGCUGAGAGCGCAACGGUCAGGAAAAAGGGGUUUCUGCGUGAGGCCGCUGUUGUUAAAGCAGAUUCCUUCAUGAAGGGGAAAAAACACAUAAAAGUAAUUAUUUUACUUUAAAAUAAUAUUAGCUUAUUAUAAGUGUAGUGUAUUGCCAUAGUGACCCUGUGGGAGAAGUCUGGAAGGCAAAAAAAUGACUUACUGUGUCUUUAAGAAAAUACUAAACAAACAGUGUGCACCUUUCAGUUAAAAUGUCACUAUCAUUAGAGUUGGAAGGCAAGACAACCAGAUGAACCAGUUUUAGUUGUUUAGCACAGAUUGCAUCAAAACGGAUUCCACCUAACACCUUAUCACCUGUCUGAUAAAUGAUUACAUUUUGGCAAACGGAAUAUUGUCUUCUAUGGCUAUACAAACAUGGAACCUACCAAAAUAAUGAUUAGACUCUUGUAUUUCAUUAGAAGUUUCUACGUUUUUCCAUUCUUUAGCAAUUAACAGUAGAACAUAGGUAAGUUUCAGCAAAAUAUCAGUUCCCUAAAAGAAAAGGGAGAAAAACUUUUUUGUGAAGUGAUACUUGCAUACUCAUGCAUAUCCUUCACUUUGACUCAAAUGGUUUACUUUUGGGACAGCUCAAAGAUCAAAACAACUAUACCACAAUAAUAAAAUAAAUAAAUAAAUAAUAAAAUAACAAUUUAUUUACAAAUAUAACACAAUGAACUAUUUACAAUUUCACAUUGUGUGCAUGUGUUAAAAAUUUCCUACAAUGCAUAACCUUCUGUUCAGGGUCUUCCACUUGGUGUAAAAAAAAAAAAACAUAAAAAUGUAUAAAUAGUCUUUGGGAUUGGGCGUUUGUAUUUAUAGACACGUAUAAAUAUGUCUUUAGUAUUGAAUUAGUUAAUUAAAUAAAUUAAAAUUACAUUACAUGUGGUGACUUUAAGUAUUAGAGGCAGUUACCCUGCAUAUCCAACAGAUGGUGCUGUUGUAACACUUGACUCAUACAAAGCGUCAUUACAAAGGGAAACGAUUGAACUAUAAAUCCUCAGAUAAUGUCAACAGUAAAGAGUUAACUGCUGAGCACAUUUUAAUUCUGUUGCUAACCAAAACAGCGGCACCUAUGGAAGAACCCUCUCUGAUCAAUUUAAGAGUUAAGUCUGUCAUAUUCAUAUCCUUUUUAUUUUAACUCCUUUCACUCACACCAUAUACAGUCAUCAUUGUUUAGAACUACUGUAAAGAUUUGUUUUCGUGAAA
Molecule: non-coding RNA, 1776 nt
Organism: Doryrhamphus excisus (bluestripe pipefish)
Lineage: Eukaryota; Metazoa; Chordata; Actinopteri; Syngnathiformes; Syngnathidae
Source: RefSeq, a predicted model, not a curated record